ACAAACUUGGUCAUUUAGAGGAAGUAAAAGUCGUAACAAGGUUUCCGUAGGUGAACCUGCGGAAGGAUCAUUACAAAAGAUACGAGCCGAGCGAAGCGAGGAGGCUAUUCUCCGAGCGAAGCGAGGUUCAAGUGCGCGCGCGUGUGUUAUAACACGUUAACGCACUAUUCACACGCAUCACUGCGCGUGGUGUGUUGUUUACCCGUGUUUACGCGGGAUUUUCUCGUUUAUGUCUUGUUUAUAUAUACAUACACUUUUAACAAUGGAUCUCUUGGCUCUUGCAUCGAUGAAGAACGCAGC
This 300-nucleotide unclassified non-coding RNA is filed under the name uncultured fungus. RNAcentral describes it as "partial contains small subunit ribosomal RNA, internal transcribed spacer 1, and 5.8S ribosomal RNA". The stretch from base 1 to 73 matches the Rfam family "Eukaryotic small subunit ribosomal RNA", at positions 1759 to 1831 of the family's 1831-position model. The record is from RNAcentral. Lineage: Eukaryota; Fungi.